AUGUACCCACGUACACUCCGGUUCCUCCGCGCCGUCCGCACUCACCCGACGACUGCUCGCUACGUUUUGUUAGCC
Molecule: small RNA, 75 nt
Filed under: Xanthomonas campestris
Lineage: Bacteria; Pseudomonadati; Pseudomonadota; Gammaproteobacteria; Lysobacterales; Lysobacteraceae
Also listed under: 2 other names
Description: sX9 sRNA
Rfam family: Xanthomonas sRNA sX9
Source: RNAcentral